GAUGAACGCUGGCGGCGUGCCUAAUACAUGCAAGUCGAGCGAACAGAUGAGGAGCUUGCUCCUCUGACGUUAGCGGCGGACGGGUGAGUAACACGUGGAUAACCUACCUAUAAGACUGGGAUAACUUCGGGAAACCGGAGCUAAUACCGGAUAAUAUAUUGAACCGCAUGGUUCAAUAGUGAAAGACGGUUUUGCUGUCACUUAUAGAUGGAUCCGCGCCGCAUUAGCUAGUUGGUAAGGUAACGGCUUACCAAGGCAACGAUGCGUAGCCGACCUGAGAGGGGGAUCGGCCAAACGGGAACUGAGACACGGGCAAGACUCCUAAGGGAGGCAGCAGUGGGGAAUCUUCCGAAAUGGGCGAAAGCCUGACGGAGAAACGCCGCGGGGGUGAUGAAGGUUUUCGGAUCGUAAAACUCUGUUAUUAGGGAAGAACAAAUGUGUAAGUAACUAGGCACGUUUUGACGGUACCUAAUCAGAAAGCCCCGGCUAACUACGU
Molecule: ribosomal RNA, 496 nt
Filed under: uncultured bacterium
Lineage: Bacteria
Description: partial 16S ribosomal RNA
Rfam family: Bacterial small subunit ribosomal RNA
Source: RNAcentral